Molecule: ribosomal RNA, 513 nt
Filed under: uncultured bacterium
Lineage: Bacteria
Description: bacterial SSU rRNA
Rfam family: Bacterial small subunit ribosomal RNA
Source: RNAcentral
AAUCAACGCUGGCGGCGUGCCUAACACAUGCAAGUCGAACGCGAAAGUGGAGCAAUCCAUGAGUAGAGUGGCAAACGGGUGAGUAACACGUGGGUGACCUGCCUUCGAGUGGGGGAUAACGUUUCGAAAGGAACGCUAAUACUGCAUAACAUGCUGUCUUUUAACAGAUGGACAUCAAAGCCGGGGACCGCAAGGCCUGGCGCUUGAAGAGGGGCCCGCGCCUGAUUAGCUAGUUGUGGGGUAAUGGCUCACCAAGGCAACGAUCAGUAUCCGGCCUGAGAGGGCGGACGGACACACUGGGACUGAGACACGGCCCAGACUCCUACGGGAGGCAGCAGUGGGGAAUUGUUCGCAAUGGGCGCAAGCCUGACGACGCAACGCCGCGUGGAGGAUGAAGAUCUUCGGGGUCGUAAAACUCCUUUUCGAUCGAGACGAAUGGCCCUUGGGGCUAAGUACCCUGAGGGAGUGACGGUACCGAGAGAAGAAGCCCCCGGGCUAAACUCCCGGUGCCAG